GUAUUGCAUGAAAGGAGAGAAGAUCAGCACUCCCCUUAGAAAGGAUGGAAGAGGCCUUUGUGGUCCAUAGAAAAUGCAGGCACUGCCACCUACUUUGUGGCAUCUAACUAUGUUU
Molecule: small nuclear RNA, 115 nt
Organism: Prinia subflava (tawny-flanked prinia)
Lineage: Eukaryota; Metazoa; Chordata; Aves; Passeriformes; Cisticolidae
Source: RefSeq, a predicted model, not a curated record